AACGUAGGUACCGAGCGUUAUCCGGAUUUACUGGGCGUAAAGCGCGUUCAGGCGGUUUGGCAAGUCGGGCAUGAAAUCUCUCGGCUCAACCGGGAGAGGUUGUCCGAUACUGCUGGACUUGAGGGCAGUAGAGGGUGGUGGAAUUCCGGGUGUAGCGGUGGAAUGCGUAGAGAUCCGGAAGAACACCGGUGGCGAAGGCGGCCUGCUGGGCAGUGGCUGACGCUGAGGCGCGACAACGUGGGGAGCAAACAGG
Molecule: ribosomal RNA, 253 nt
Filed under: uncultured bacterium
Lineage: Bacteria
Description: partial 16S ribosomal RNA
Rfam family: Bacterial small subunit ribosomal RNA
Source: RNAcentral